Molecule: ribosomal RNA, 640 nt
Filed under: uncultured bacterium
Lineage: Bacteria
Description: bacterial SSU rRNA
Rfam family: Bacterial small subunit ribosomal RNA
Source: RNAcentral
AAUGCCGCGUGUGUGAAGAAGGCCUGCGGGUUGUAAAGCACUUUAAGCAGGAAAGAAGGUCGGGUUGAUAAUACCAAUCUGAAUUGACGUUACCUGCAGAAUAAGCACCGGCUAACUCCGUGCCAGCAGCCGCGGUAAUACGGAGGGUGCGAGCGUUAAUCGGAAUUACUGGGCGUAAAGCGCACGUAGGCGGCGCGUUAAGUCUUCUGUGAAAGCCCUGGGCUUAACCUGGGAACGGCAGGAGAAACUGGCGAGCUAGAGUGUCGGAGAGGGUAGUGGAAUUUCCGGUGUAGCAGUGAAAUGCGUAGAGAUCGGAAGGAACACCUGUGGCGAAGGCGGCUACCUGGACGAACACUGACGCUGAGGAGCGAAAGCGUGGGGAGCAAACAGGAUUAGAUACCCUGGUAGUCCACGCGGUAAACGAUGAGAACUAGCCGUUGGGCACGAUUGAGUGCUGAGUGGCGAAGCUAACGCGAUAAGUUCUCCGCCUGGGGAGUACGGCCGCAAGGUUAAAACUCAAAUGAAUUGACGGGGGCCCGCACAAGCGGUGGAGCAUGUGGUUUAAUUCGAUGCAACGCGAAGAAACCUUACUGGCCUUGACAUGUCGCGAAUCCCUGAGAGAUGGGGAGUGCUUCGGGAA